This 252-nucleotide ribosomal RNA is filed under the name uncultured bacterium. Its description in RNAcentral is "partial 16S ribosomal RNA". It matches the Rfam family "Bacterial small subunit ribosomal RNA", at positions 525 to 776 of the family's 1533-position model. The record is from RNAcentral.
ACGGAGGGUGCAAGCGUUAUCCGGAUUUACUGGGUUUAAAGGGUGCGUAGGCGGGCAGGUAAGUCAGUGGUGAAAUCCCCGAGCUUAACUCGGGAACUGCCGUUGAUACUAUCUGUCUUGAAUAUCGUGGAGGUAAGCGGAAUAUGUCAUGUAGCGGUGAAAUGCUUAGAUAUGACAUAGAACACCAAUUGCGAAGGCAGCUUGCUACACUAUUAUUGACGCUGAGGCACGAAAGCGUGGGGAUCAAACAGG